AUUGAACGCUGGCGGCGUGCUUAACACAUGCAAGUCGAGCGGUAAGGCCCUUUCGGGGGUACGACGAGCGGCGAACGGGUGAGUAACACGUGGGUGACCUGCCCUCAGCUCUGGGAUAAGCCUGGGAAACCGGGUACUAAUACUGGAUAUGACUCCAUGACGCAUGUUGUGGGGUGGAAAGCCUUGUGCGGCUGAGGAUGGGCCCGCGGCCUAUCAGCUUGUUGGUGGGGNGAUGGCCUACCAAGGCGACGACGGGUAGCCGGCCUGAGAGGGCGACCGGCCACACUGGGACUGAGACACGGCCCAGACUCCUACGGGAGGGCAGCAGGUGGGGGAAUUUUUGGACAAUGGGCGGCAAGCCUGAUCCAGCCAUGCCGCGUGCGGGAAGAA
Molecule: ribosomal RNA, 390 nt
Filed under: uncultured bacterium
Lineage: Bacteria
Description: bacterial SSU rRNA
Rfam family: Bacterial small subunit ribosomal RNA
Source: RNAcentral